This 497-nucleotide ribosomal RNA is filed under the name uncultured bacterium. RNAcentral's name for it is "partial 16S ribosomal RNA". It matches the Rfam family "Bacterial small subunit ribosomal RNA", at positions 28 to 507 of the family's 1533-position model. The record is from RNAcentral.
GAUGAACGCUGGCGGCGUGCCUAAUACAUGCGAGUCGAGCGAACGGACGAGAAGCUUGCUUCUCUGAUGUUAGCGGCGGACGGGUGAGUAACACGUGGAUAACCUACCUAUAAGACUGGGAUAACUUCGGGAAACCGUAGCUAAUACCGGAUAAUAUUUUGAACCGCAUGGUUCAAAAGUGAAAGACGGUCUUGCUGUCACUUAUAGAUGGAUCCGCGCUGCAUUAGCUAGUUGGUAAGGUAACGGCUUACCAAGGCAACGAUGCAUAGCCGACCUGAGAGGGUGAUCGGCCACACUGGAACUGAGACACGGUCCAGACUCCUACGGUAGGCAGCAGUAGGGAAUCUUCCGCAAUGGGCGAAAGCCUGACGGAGCAACGCCGCGUGAGUGAUGAAGGUCUUCGGAUCGUAAAACUCUGUUAUUAGGGAAGAACAUAUGUGUAAGUAACUGUGCACAUCUUGACGGUACCUAAUCAGAAAGCCACGGCUAACUACGUG